UACCAGGGAUUCCCUUGCAUGAGUACAAGGUCCCUUUUAGCUUGAUCUAGGCUUAAUACUCUAUUAUAGCAUGAAAUCCCUUAUUUUCCACCCGGAUGAACAGUAAUCUGGACCGACAGCCGGUUACUUCAUCCCGGAUUUGAUCCACUUUUCAGACUCUAAAUUUGAUGAAAUUUUUACCUAACAUUCUACACUCAUAGAGAAUUCCAAAGAGGUAACAUGCAUUGCUAUCGGAGGUCGUUUGACCCCCUAAAUAAUUCGCCGAAUUUGGAACUUCGACACAGUUUUUCCGUAGUGCCGGAAAAAUUUGUCAAAAUCCGAUUCUUCCUCUUUUAACCGCCUCUACAACCCUUAUCCGACCCCUCUAGACUAUAUCCACCCUUUGUAUAGCCUAAUGUCAUCAAAAGACUAGAUAGGGACGGAUAUUUACCUUUUUCUUUUUGAAAAUCUAGGUCCUUGCGUAGAGGGGAAGGAGAUCUACGUUUUUUCCUUCAGCUGACAACGC
RNAcentral lists this long non-coding RNA (505 nucleotides) under Phoenix dactylifera (date palm). Its description in RNAcentral is "long non-coding RNA (PDAC_LNC021896)". Lineage: Eukaryota; Viridiplantae; Streptophyta; Magnoliopsida; Arecales; Arecaceae. The record is from RNAcentral.